AUGGCCCGUCUCGCCACCCUCGCCGUGCUCCUACUAUCCCUCCUGGCCGUCGCUAGCUGCCGCGUCCUUGAGACCAUCUCCGACGACCAGGGUUCAUCCAACUCCGUCCUCCUCACCCAAGAUGAUCAGGCGGAGGCUGCUGUUGCUGAGGUGACCCUUCCGGCUUUGCCCACCACGGCCGUUGCCGUGGACGAGGGCAUGCUCCGGCUCCCCUCCCACCGCCGCCCCUGCCACCUCCACCGUCACCUCUGGUGGACGCGCCACCACGGCCUCUCCCACCACCGGGGCGCGUUCUCCGGCUCGGGCGAGGCUUGUGUCCAUCCGGCCGUCGACGUCGUCGUGCCCACCGAGCUUGCCCGCGAGGAACAGCAAGAGCCUAGUGUGCCGGAGCUGGAGGCGGUCGCGGAGCCUGACCCCGACUCACGCCCGGACACCGACGCGGCAGAGAAGCUGUUUCAUGGCGACGAGGAAGAGGCAGCGAACGCGUGGAAGGUGGAGAUGCUGAGGAGGUUCCGCCACGGCAUCCGCUUUCACCCCCGCCACCAUCUUCACCACCAACACGAGCAAGACGGGGAGGAGCACGACGACCACGAGCAGGACAAGGCUGAAGGCACGAGCAUGAACCUGUUCGGGCGCUUCCACCACCGCCACCAUCUUCGACACCACCACGAGCAGGACGCGGAGGAGGAGGACGGCCACCAGCAGAACAAGGACGAAGGCCCGAAGAUGAAGCUGUUCCGACGUUUCCACCACCACCACGCGCACGACAGCGACAACGAGGUCGACGAGGUGGAAGAACUGGCUAGGAAGCUGAGCGAGGCGAUCAUGAGAAGGAGCUUCGGCCAUGGCGGCCGCCGCCACCACCACCACCACAACGGCGCGGAGGGCGGGGUGAAGAAGUGGUUCAAGGGCCUCAUGAACCGAUUCUAG
Molecule: ribosomal RNA, 930 nt
Filed under: Triticum aestivum (bread wheat)
Lineage: Eukaryota; Viridiplantae; Streptophyta; Magnoliopsida; Poales; Poaceae
Description: partial small subunit ribosomal RNA
Source: RNAcentral